Long non-coding RNA from Folsomia candida, 764 nucleotides. RefSeq lists it as uncharacterized. The transcript is spliced from 5 exons. The record is from RefSeq and is a predicted model, not a curated record. NCBI's taxonomy places the organism in Eukaryota, Metazoa, Arthropoda, Collembola, Entomobryomorpha, Isotomidae.
CAUGUUACAUACUGACUUUUGCUAGGUCAUCUUUUUCACAAUGUAAUCCUCCGGUGAAUAAAAUUAGUACAAAACUUGGAAUGUCUGCAUCAGACGAUAAUUGGAGUUCGAAUGUUGUAACACAAUUUUUCCAAAAUACUCAGACUCAAAAUGCAAUAGCCCUUUGGCUUAGGGGUUCGGGGGCGGAACUGUCACCACGCAGUCACACGUUCGAUUCCUCUCUGUCCGGGAAGCUAUUUGCUAAUCCUACUCGGCUCGGUGUUAGUACGGGGUGGGUGCUCCUCUCAUGGUAGGGUGAGCCCGGCCAGACGGUCUGGCAAUGCCAGAAAGGGGAGCCCUCGCAGAGUCCGUUCUCUGUGAGAAGAUCCGACUCAUCACCAGAGUUAUAUGGUCAGCUUGUAUCCGGUCAUUCUGGUCCACCUGUUCAACAUGUUGGUUGUUACGGCAAAAUGUACAAAAACCGCAUUUACUUCUCCGGUGUGCUGAGCUGUAUCAGGUGGCUGUAAAGUCCUUUACCGAUGACAAGGCGUCCUCAAUGAGCUAUGCGGAGUGGGCUGAAACGAGGAUUUCUCAAGAUUUAAACCACGUCACGCAAUAUUUGCAUCCAAAGAGGAGAAAGCGAACCAAAAGGCUGGCAUAUUUUUCAUUUUCCAAAUUUCCUGCGUAUUUUUUUUGCUUUGAAUGCAGAUAUCUCCACCAAUCCUGCGCAUUGGCAGGUAGUUCCAUUUGCAAAUUUCAUACUAAUUACAUUUAUGAUCGAUUGA